UAAUACGUAGGGUGCGAGCGUUAAUCGGAAUUACUGGGCGUAAAGGGUGCGCAGGCGGCCCCGCAAGUCAGGCGUGAAAUCCCCGAGCUUAACUUGGGAAUUGCGCUUGAAACUAUGGGGCUGGAGUGUGGCAGAGGGAGGUGGAAUUCCACGUGUAGCGGUGAAAUGCGUAGAUAUGUGGAGGAACACCGAUGGCGAAGGCAGCCUCCUGGGCCAACACUGACGCUCAUGCACGAAAGCGUGGGGAGCAAACAGGAUUAGAUACCCUGGUAGUCCACGCCCUAAACUAUGUCUACUAGUUGUUGGGGGAGUUAAAUCCCUUAGUAACGCAGCUAACGCGAGAAGUAGACCGCCUGGGGAGUACGGUCGCAAGAUUAAAACUUAAAUGAAUUGACGG
RNAcentral lists this ribosomal RNA (397 nucleotides) under uncultured bacterium. RNAcentral describes it as "bacterial SSU rRNA". It matches the Rfam family "Bacterial small subunit ribosomal RNA", at positions 521 to 916 of the family's 1533-position model. The record is from RNAcentral.